AAACUCUUGACAAAAGUUGCUCAUCUGCUCGAGUACUAUAGCCUGUAAAAUUUUCUGAAUUCUUUGAAUUUUUCUGAUGCCUCAAAGCUGGUCUGCAACUUCUGUGUUCAUCCAUGGCUGGUGUAUACGUCUCUGGCACAGGCAGGGGAGGGUGCCGAAAGCCUGCGUUGUAUCCAUUGUCGCUGGAAGCUUCGAGUGUACCAAUUUCGCAACUUGGCAAUUUGGAUUUCUAUCUCGAUUUCUCAGUAAAUAGUUCUGCUCCUUCACUGGAAUCUUGAGUCUUUCUUUUGGCUUUGUAGGAAUAGACAUAGACUGGUGUUUGGCCUAGGCUUGUUUUUCUUGUGAACACACGCUUGAUUAAAUCUGAACUUUUCUCCGAUCUUGUGGAAAUUGAAAUUGACAGAAUGCAUGCUCUGCAAUGCUUGAAUCUUUUUGUAUUUUGAGGGAGAAUUUGCUUGUCAUGGGAAUUGCUUGAGAAUUUUGCUUGCCAUGGAUAAAUUGCAUGCUGCUUUGAUAUUUGCUUAAGCCUUUUCUUUGGCGUGAGCUUGACUUGCAUGCUUGGCGUAUACUUUGCGUGUGCUACGUUCUUGACCACCUUCUUUGAUUGAACUAUAUGCAUCACGAGCAUAUGCUUGUAACUGCAUGAUUAAUACAUAGGGUUAGAGGCUGUUGAAAGCUGGAGGAGAGCACCAUUUGUUUCCUCUUUUGAGCUUAGAGUUUGGACAUGGCUAACUUUUUUUUCUUGGCUUUAUAGGGAUAGAUAUAAACAUGUAUAUGAUGGGUCUGCAAGAUUGUCAUGUAACUCAUAGGGAUUUUUUUGUUUUUGUGAAAAAGGUUACUAGGAGGUAAGUGGUGUUCAGUUUGUAACACUUGCUUUGUGAAAGGGUCUGCUGGAAUGAUUGAUUGAGCAUGAAAUGGGAACUUUGCUUGUCAUAAGCUCGAGUAAUAGAUUGCAUGAUGCUUCAAA
Prunus persica (peach) is the source of this 967-nucleotide long non-coding RNA. RefSeq lists it as uncharacterized. The transcript has 2 exons. The record is from RefSeq and is a predicted model, not a curated record. NCBI's taxonomy places the organism in Eukaryota, Viridiplantae, Streptophyta, Magnoliopsida, Rosales, Rosaceae.